RNAcentral lists this non-coding RNA (183 nucleotides) under Arenimonas oryziterrae. The record is from RNAcentral. Lineage: Bacteria; Pseudomonadati; Pseudomonadota; Gammaproteobacteria; Lysobacterales; Lysobacteraceae. RNAcentral also lists the same sequence under 1 other name.
ACACUUCGCGCCGCCCCAGGUGCUCGGGAAGCCGGUGAAAGUCCGGCACUGCCCCCGCAACGGUAAGCCAGAACUCCUUUCAUCAAGCCACUGGGCCACGGCCUGGGAAGGCGAAAGGCUGACGCGAUGGAAGCCAUCGCGUCGCUGGCAAGUCCGGAGACCGGCCUCGGGACCAGACGCGCU